Podarcis lilfordi (Lilford's wall lizard) is the source of this 92-nucleotide non-coding RNA. Lineage: Eukaryota; Metazoa; Chordata; Lepidosauria; Squamata; Lacertidae. The record is from the annotation of a GenBank genome assembly.
GGUUGUGUGGUGUAGUGGUUAGAGCAUUGGGCUAGGACCUGGGAAGCCAGGCUUCAAACCUAUACUCAGGGAUUCAAAUCCCCGCUCAGCCA